This 253-nucleotide ribosomal RNA is filed under the name uncultured bacterium. Its description in RNAcentral is "partial 16S ribosomal RNA". It matches the Rfam family "Bacterial small subunit ribosomal RNA", at positions 524 to 776 of the family's 1533-position model. The record is from RNAcentral.
UACGUAGGGCGCAAGCGUUAUCCGGAAUUAUUGAGCGUAAAGAGCUCGUAGGCGGUUUGUCGCGUCUGCCGUGAAAGUCCGGGGCUCAACUCCGGAUCUGCGGUGGGUACGGGCAGACUAGAGUGAUGUAGGGGAGACUGGAAUUCCUGGUGUAGCGGUGAAAUGCGCAGAUAUCAGGAGGAACACCGAUGGCGAAGGCAGGUCUCUGGGCAUUAACUGACGCUGAGGAGCGAAAGCAUGGGGAGCGAACAGG